This 238-nucleotide ribosomal RNA is filed under the name uncultured bacterium. RNAcentral describes it as "partial 16S ribosomal RNA". It matches the Rfam family "Bacterial small subunit ribosomal RNA", at positions 96 to 334 of the family's 1533-position model. The record is from RNAcentral.
CGGCGGACGGGUGAGUAACGCGUGGGUAACCUACCCUGUACACACGGAUAACAUACCGAAAGGUAUGCUAAUACGGGAUAAUAUAUUUGAGAGGCAUCUCUUGAAUAUCAAAGGUGAGCCAGUACAGGAUGGACCCGCGUCUGAUUAGCUAGUUGGUAAGGUAACGGCUUACCAAGGCGACGAUCAGUAGCCGACCUGAGAGGGUGAUUGGCCACAUUGGAACUGAGACACGGUCCAA